This 75-nucleotide transfer RNA is filed under the name Candidatus Saccharimonadota bacterium. Its description in RNAcentral is "tRNA-Trp". It matches the Rfam family "tRNA". From Rfam's summary of the family: Transfer RNA (tRNA) molecules are approximately 80 nucleotides in length. Their secondary structure includes four short double-helical elements and three loops (D, anti-codon, and T loops). RNAcentral also lists the same sequence under 1 other name. Lineage: Bacteria; Candidatus Saccharimonadota. The record is from RNAcentral.
AGGGGCGUAGUACAACGGUUAGUAUAAAGGUCUCCAAAACCUUAGAUCGUGGUUCGAUUCCACGCGCCCCUGCCA